UUAAGUUCAGCGGGUAGUCCUACCUGAUUUGAGGUCAAACGUUCAAAAAUUGUCUGUAAGGACAGUUAUAAGCUGAACAGACAGAGAGCAGCCUUUGUCUUUGGCGUAGAUAGUUAUCACACCGGUGACUGACCGCAAACGGUUCCGCUAAUGCAUUUUAGGGGAGCUGACAUGAAGCCCGCAAAGACCCCCAUAUCCAA
RNAcentral lists this unclassified non-coding RNA (200 nucleotides) under Lepiota sp. Its description in RNAcentral is "partial internal transcribed spacer 2". The record is from RNAcentral. Lineage: Eukaryota; Fungi; Basidiomycota; Agaricomycetes; Agaricales; Agaricaceae.